CCUACGGGCGGCUGCAGUGGGGAAUAUUGGACAAUGGGGGGAACCCUGAUCCAGCCAUGCCGCGUGUGUGAAGAAGGCCCUCGGGUUGUAAAGCACUUUCAGUGAGGAAGAACGCCUGGUGGUUAAUACCCAUCAGGAAAGACAUCACUCACAGCAGAAGCACCGGCUAACUCCGUGCCAGCAGCCGCGGUAAUACGGAGGGUGCGAGCGUUAAUCGGAAUUACUGGGCGUAAAGCGCGCGUAGGUGGCUUGAUAAGCCGGUUGUGAAAGCCCCGGGCUCAACCUGGGAACGGCAUCCGGAACUGUCAAGCUAGAGUGCAGGAGAGGAAGGUAGAAUUCCCGGUGUAGCGGUGAAAUGCGUAGAGAUCGGGAGGAAUACCAGUGGCGAAGGCGGCCUUCUGGACUGACACUGACACUGAGGUGCGAAAGCGUGGGUAGCAAACAGGAUUAGAUACCCUGGUAGUC
Molecule: ribosomal RNA, 465 nt
Filed under: Vreelandella stevensii
Lineage: Bacteria; Pseudomonadati; Pseudomonadota; Gammaproteobacteria; Oceanospirillales; Halomonadaceae
Description: partial 16S ribosomal RNA
Rfam family: Bacterial small subunit ribosomal RNA
Source: RNAcentral